RNAcentral lists this ribosomal RNA (433 nucleotides) under uncultured bacterium. Its description in RNAcentral is "partial 16S ribosomal RNA". It matches the Rfam family "Bacterial small subunit ribosomal RNA", at positions 29 to 507 of the family's 1533-position model. The record is from RNAcentral.
AACGAACGCUGGCGGCAUGCCUAACACAUGCAAGUCGAACGAGACCUUCGGGUCUAGUGGCGCAUGGGUGCGUCACGCGUGGGAAGCUGCCCAUAUGUUCGGCAUACCUCUCCGAAAGGGGUGCUAAUACCGGAUAAUGUCUUAGGACCAAAGAUUUCUGGCGUUUGGUUGGGCGCGAGUUGGAUUCGCUAGUUGGUAGGGUUAAAGCCUAUUACGGGGUGAAUUCAUAGGUUGUUUGAGAGAAUGAUUAGCCACACUUGGAGUGAGACACGGCCCAGAAUCCUACGGGAGGGAGCAGUGGGGAAUAGUGGAAAGUGGGGGGAAGCCUGAUGCAGCAAGGCCCGGUGAGUUAUGAAAUCCUGAGAGAUGUAAAGCGCUUGUAACCGGGAAGAUAAUGACAGUACCGGGAGAAUAAGCCCCGGCUAACUACGUG